UGCGAUGGACUGCAUAAGCCUUUGUAGAGUUAUGAAGGAUAUGCUAGAAUCUUCUGGAGCUAAAGAUAAAGGAAAGGCCAAAGAAGAUAAAGACAAGGACAACAAUGGGAAAUUUUAGAACCCGUGUAACACCAUCAACGUCAUAUUCGGUGGCACUACGGGUACUGCUACCAAGCGGUCCCAGAAACUAACCCUACGUGAAAUCAUGUCCAUUGAGCCAGCAACGCCUACGUCCCUCAAGUGGUCUAAGGUGCCAAUUACCUUUUCAAGAAAGGAUUAGUGGACUAGUUUCUCC
Molecule: long non-coding RNA, 295 nt
Filed under: Setaria viridis
Lineage: Eukaryota; Viridiplantae; Streptophyta; Magnoliopsida; Poales; Poaceae
Description: long non-coding RNA (SVIR_LNC009332)
Source: RNAcentral